GAUGAACGCUGGCGGCGUGCUUAACACAUGCAAGUCGAACGAAGCACUUUAAUCGAUUUCUUCGGAUUGAAAUUUUAGUGACUGAGUGGCGGACGGGUGAGUAACGCAUGGGUAACCUGCCUCACACAGGGGGAUAACAGUUGGAAACGGCUGCUAAUACCGCAUAAGCGCACAGUACCGCAUGGUACGGUGUGAAAAACUCCGGUGGUGUGAGAUGGACCCGCGUCUGAUUAGCUAGUUGGCAGGGCAGCGGCCUACCAAGGCGACGAUCAGUAGCCGACCUGAGAGGGUGACCGGCCACAUUGGGACUGAGACACGGCCCAAACUCCUACGGGAGGCAGCAGUGGGGAAUAUUGCACAAUGGGGGAAACCCUGAUGCAGCGACGCCGCGUGAGCGAAGAAGUAUUUCGGUAUGUAAAGCUCUAUCGGCAGGGAAGAAGAAAUGACGGUACCUGACUAAGAAGCACCGGCUAAAUACGUGCCAGCAGCCGCCGUAA
RNAcentral lists this ribosomal RNA (497 nucleotides) under uncultured bacterium. RNAcentral's name for it is "partial 16S ribosomal RNA". It matches the Rfam family "Bacterial small subunit ribosomal RNA", at positions 28 to 523 of the family's 1533-position model. The record is from RNAcentral.